Long non-coding RNA from Diachasmimorpha longicaudata, 808 nucleotides. RefSeq lists it as uncharacterized. The record is from RefSeq and is a predicted model, not a curated record. The transcript is spliced from 4 exons. NCBI's taxonomy places the organism in Eukaryota, Metazoa, Arthropoda, Insecta, Hymenoptera, Braconidae.
GGGGCGGACUUUUAAUGGACGCAGCUAUUUCGCGGGAAUAUCUUAGUAAAUUCGCUCGGAAAUUAUACAUUAAUUAGCUAGAAGGGUGGAAGUGCGUGAAAUGUGCGCGUGUUUUUUGUUAUUCUAUUUUUAGAAAAAAAAAACUGAGGACUGGGUUUAUCUCGUGACUGCAGUUGUUUUUAUGAAGAAGAACUUGAACGUUGGAGUUUUGUGAAGCUAGUGAAUUGCUUACGUUAUUCGCACUGUUGGAGCCGCUCGUGGUGCUGUAUCGUCGAUCGUUUUCCAAACUUGAUGCCUCCUCGGACACGGGACUUAUUGGACCAACUGUACGGAGCCUGUAACAUCAAAAGGCAAAGGGAAAGCCCCAAUGUUGGCCAAUUGUUGCUGUGCUUGAUACUGAGGAACGUCUGGAUGGAGUGCUUCGUGUGCUUGGCACCAUAGUUUUUUGAGAACCACUCUCAUCGUUAUCCCUUUGUUUUGGGGUAAUUGACUCCACGCUCUGCGCUUCCUCCAUUCUGUUAUUUCAAUCAGUAAAAUCCAGGCAGACGUGAGUGAAAUGAAUGAAUAUCGAAGCAUGAGCGAGAAAUCCACCGACACAGGAUGCCCUGGCCACCACAAUUUCAUCACUGAAGAACUCGAGAAGUAGUCUCUCUUCACUUGAAAUUAUUGUGCCAGAUUCUGAUGGACUUUUAUCCAAUGCAAUAUCAGCUAAGAGUUCAGCACUCAAUGAAUCCCCAUCUCGCGCUCUCACGUACUGUCCAGGGCACGGGAACUUUGUUUGAUCGAAGUGAAGCUUGAUCGCGUAUUC